This 314-nucleotide long non-coding RNA is filed under the name Ananas comosus (pineapple). RNAcentral describes it as "long non-coding RNA (ACOM_LNC006433)". The record is from RNAcentral. Lineage: Eukaryota; Viridiplantae; Streptophyta; Magnoliopsida; Poales; Bromeliaceae.
UUUAACAAUUCUCCCAAAUAAGUGAUGUUUUAUAGAUUUUUUUUUUUUUGAGAGAUAAGUAGCACGCUAUCCGCUUCAUUCAUUUUUUUUAGAAAUAAACUUAGCUGGAAAUGUGAAUCAACUAAGAUUCGAACUUCGGAUCUCGGGUACUAACCACCAAACAUUUUGCCACUUGCUUUAGGGACGGUCGGUAUGUUUUAUGGACUUUUGAUGCAUUAUUAAAUCUAUAUAAUAUUUUGAGCUACGUAUGAAUAUCGAUUUAAAUCUUUUAUAUUAUAUAUACUCACAUAUCAAUAGUCCAUAAAAAUAAAAUU